CUACGGGGGGCUCCAGUGAGGAAUAUUGGUCAAUGGGCGCGAGCCUGAACCAGCCAUCCCGCGUGCAGGAUGACGGCCCUAUGGGUUGUAAACUGCUUUUCUAUGCCAAGAAACCUGAUUACGUGUAAUCAGUUGCCGGUAGCAUAGGAAUAAGCAUCGGCUAACUCCGUGCCGGCAGCCGCGGUAAUACGGAGGAUGCAAGCGUUAUCCGGAGUCAUUGGGUUUAAAGGGUGCGCAGGUGGGCUUGUAAGUCAGUGGUGAAAUGCUGCCGCUUAACGGUAGAACUGCCAUUGAUACUGCGAGUCUUGAGUAUGGUUGAGGUAGGCGGAAUGUGUUGUGUAGCGGUGAAAUGCGUAGAUAUGACACAGAACGCCAAUUGCGAAGGCAGCUUACUAAGCCAUUACUGACGCUGAGGCACGAAAGCGUGGGGAGCGAACAGGAUUAGAUACCCGAGUAGUC
RNAcentral lists this ribosomal RNA (459 nucleotides) under uncultured bacterium. RNAcentral describes it as "partial 16S ribosomal RNA". It matches the Rfam family "Bacterial small subunit ribosomal RNA", at positions 339 to 795 of the family's 1533-position model. The record is from RNAcentral.